This 488-nucleotide ribosomal RNA is filed under the name uncultured bacterium. RNAcentral describes it as "bacterial SSU rRNA". It matches the Rfam family "Bacterial small subunit ribosomal RNA", at positions 26 to 518 of the family's 1533-position model. The record is from RNAcentral.
AGGACGAACGCUGGCGGGCGUGCCUAACACAUGCAAGUCGAACGGAGUAUAAAAGGAAGCUUGCGAAUUUUAUACUUAGUGGCGGACGGGUGAGUAACGCGUGGAUAACCUGCCUGAUAGCCUGGGAUAACAGCUGGAAACGGCUGCUAAUACCGGAUACGCUUGCGGAGUCGCAUGGCUUUGCAAGGAAAGCUUUUGUGCUAUCAGAUGGAUCCGCGUCCCAUUAGCUAGUUGGUGGUGUAGAGGACCACCAAGGCGACGAUGGGUAGCCGGCCUGAGAGGGCGAACGGCCACACUGGGACUGAGACACGGCCCAGACUCCUACGGGAGGCAGCAGUGGGGAAUCUUCCGCAAUGGGCGAAAAAGCCUGACGGAGCAACGCCGCGUGAGGGAAGAAGGCCUUCGGGUUGUAAACCUCUGUUUUCAGGGAAGAAGAAAGUGACGGUACCUGAAGAGUAAGCUCCGGCUAACUACGUGCCAGCCGCCGC